This 469-nucleotide ribosomal RNA is filed under the name uncultured bacterium. RNAcentral describes it as "bacterial SSU rRNA". It matches the Rfam family "Bacterial small subunit ribosomal RNA", at positions 28 to 491 of the family's 1533-position model. The record is from RNAcentral.
GAUGAACGCUAGCGGCAGGCUUAAUACAUGCAAGUCGUACGGGAUCCGAGGUAGCAAUACUUUGGUGAGAGUGGCGCACGGGUGCGUAACACGUAUGCAACCUACCUAUAACCGGGACACAACCUCGAGAAAUUGAGGCUAAUAUCCCAUAACACUGCGAGAUGGCAUCAUUUUGCAGUUAAAACUCCGGUGGUUAUAGAUGGGCAUGCGCGACAUUAGCUAGUUGGUGAGGUAACGGCCCACCAAGGCUCCGAUCGGUAGGGGGUCUGAGAGGAUGAUCCCCCACACUGGUACUGAGACACGGACCAGACUCCUACGGGAGGCAGCAGUAAGGAAUAUUGGACAAUGGACGGAAGUCUGAUCCAGCCAUGCCGCGUGAAGGAAGAAUGCGCUCAGCGUUGUAAACUUCUUUUGGAUGGGAAUAAUAACCUCGACGCGUUCGGGGCUUGAAGGUACCAUCAGAAUAAGC